Vombatus ursinus (common wombat) is the source of this 278-nucleotide long non-coding RNA. RefSeq lists it as uncharacterized. The transcript has 3 exons. NCBI's taxonomy places the organism in Eukaryota, Metazoa, Chordata, Mammalia, Diprotodontia, Vombatidae. The record is from RefSeq and is a predicted model, not a curated record.
GAGCCUUGAAUUCCUUUCACCUUUCGACCAACAAGAUGUAAAAUAUCCAUCCAGACAGGUAACCUCCUGGAGGAGAGGGCAGAGUGAGGCAUGGGCCUUUCUCUACCCUGAGGACCCUACCUGGAACGGCUCAGACUGGAACCUUAUGAACAAAAAAGGGAAGCCCCGUUUGUAGAGAGUAGAUGGACAGUGCUUAUGUAAAACACUCCCCAGUGCGGCAGAACCAGAUUAAAAUUGGGAAAUAUUUAACAAAAUAAAUAAAAAUACAAUAAAACAUA